CAUAGCGACUAUCGUGGCAUAUCAAUAAGCGGAGGAAAAGAAACUAACUAGGAUUCCCUUAGUAACGGCGAGUGAAGCGGGAAGAGCUCAAAUUUGAAAUCUUCAAGGUUUACCUUGACGAAUUGUAGUUUAUAGAAGUGUUUUCUGUUAGUAGGAGUGGCAAAAGUUCUUUGGAAUAGGACAUCAUAGAGGGUGAGAAUCCCGUAUUUGGUCAUUCCUUCUAGCGUUGUGAUACACUUUCAACGAGUCGGAUUGUUUGGGAAUGCAGUCCAAAAUGGGUGGUAAAUUUCAUCUAAAGCUAAAUAUUGGCGAGAGACCGAUAGCGAACAAGUACCGUGAGGGAAAGAUGAAAAGAACUUUGAAAAGAGAGUUAAACAGUACGUGAAAUUGUCAAAAGGGAAGCGUUUGACACCAGUGUUGUUUUUCCGAAAAUCAAUUACGAAUGUUUUGUUUUUGAGGAGUUAUGACUUCAUCGGCUUGCUUCUUUCUUUACGAAACUUUCUUAAUGCACUUUUCGGUUAACAAGUCAACAUCAAUUUCUUUUGUUGUAAAAGGGUAUGAGGAAGGUGGCUCUCUUUUCGGAGAAAGUGUUUAUAGCCUUGUAGCCUCUGCAAUCGGAGAGAUUGAGGUCUGCAGCGUAGAUCCUUCGGGGUUAGAUACGUAGAUGCUAAGUUAUAGUUUUUCAUAGACAACUUGUUGACUAUGAUUAGUCAUGUAGCUUACUCGUUGACGCUAUUUUACCUACGCUUAGGAUGUUGAUAUGCAUGACUGAUAU
Molecule: ribosomal RNA, 775 nt
Filed under: uncultured Neocallimastigales
Lineage: Eukaryota; Fungi; Neocallimastigomycota; Neocallimastigomycetes; Neocallimastigales
Description: partial large subunit ribosomal RNA
Rfam family: Eukaryotic large subunit ribosomal RNA
Source: RNAcentral